CAGGRGGCGGAGAACGGGGUGACGUUWWYWYARWARGGUAACCUGCCCAUAAGACUGGGAUAACUCCGGKWWACCGGGGCUAAUACCGGAUAAYAUUUUGAACYGCAUGGUUCGAAAUUGAAAGGCGGCUUCGGCUGUCACUUAUGGAUGGACCCGCGUCGCAUUAGCUAGUUGGUGAGGUAACGGCUCACCAAGGCAACGAUGCGUAGCCGACCUGAGAGGGUGAUCGGCCACACUGGGACUGAGACACGGCCCAGACUCCUACGGGAGGCAGCAGUAGGGAAUCUUCCGCAAUGGACGAAAGUCUGACGGAGCAACGCCGCGUGAGUGAUGAAGGCUUUCGGGUCGUAAAACUCUGUUGUUAGGGAAGAACAAGUGCUAGUUGAAUAAGCUGGCACCUUGACGGUACCUAACCARAAAGCCACGGCUAACUACGUGCCAGCAGCCGCGGUAAUACGUAGGUGGCAAGCGUUAUCCGGAAUUAUUGGGCGUAAAGCGCGCGCAGGUGGUUUCUUAAGUCUGAUGUGAAAGCCCACGGCUCAACCGUGGAGGGUCAUUGGAAACUGGGAGACUUGAGUGCAGAAGAGGAAAAGUGGAAUUCCAUGUGUAGCGGUGAAAUGCGUAGAGAUAUGGAGGAACACCAGUGGCGAAGGCGACUUUCUGGUCUGUAACUGACACUGAGGCGCGAAAGCGUGGGGAGCAAACAGGAUUAGAUACYCUGGUAGUCCACGCCGUAAACGAUGAGUGCUAAGUGUUAGAGGGUUUCCGCCCUUUAGUGCUGAAGUUAACGCAUUAAGCACUCCKKCCUGGGGAAGUACGGCCGCAAGGCUGAAACUCMAAYGGUACUYUGACCGGGGGACCGCCACAAGCGUUGGAAGCCAUGUGCUUUUACUUCGGAGCAWCGGC
This 906-nucleotide ribosomal RNA is filed under the name endophytic bacterium. RNAcentral describes it as "partial 16S ribosomal RNA". The record is from RNAcentral.